CGAGAGCCCUGAGUCCCUCCCCAGCAUGGGGGCAGGCCGAGUGCUGGUGGUGCUGAUGGCAGUGCCUACUCCUUCAACAGUCCCAGCUUCUUCAGUGCCUCCCUUCUGUGCUCAUCGGGGACGCCCUUCGGGCAGCCAUCGAAACCUUGAAAUAUUUCUGCUUGAUAAGAAACCUGAGAAACAAGUAAAGCGCUCAAGGUAAACCUGACAUGCAAACUGCCAGCUGGGACACCUUGAGGAAAAUAAAGCACAACUACUACCAUGGACUGGUCUUCCUCUCUUUGGACUCUGCCACACUACCUUGGCCUGAGUCCUCCUGGAACUCCGACCAGACUCUGCACGCUGCCAUAAAAUGUUAAUGUGGGGAAGGCCUGGCACAGUUGAGUGACUUUCUGUUUAAUGGUCUCGGUACCUAUUAUCUAGGCAAAGUCGGAAAACUGAGUUGCAACCCAAAUAAGCUUGAUAUUACAGCCAGAUUAUCCUUGAGUUUUCCAAAGAUGAGCUGGUAGAUCGAGUUGGACUUUUCUCAAUGUGCCCAAAUCUCCCGUCCCCUUACAUACAAGCACAACUCACACCCUGCACACCUGUCCACAGAGAGCUCCAUUAUCAAGACACCAUGAUCGGACAUGCACGCACCGCACCAUUUAUUUAACCAUAGACACCGAGGUAUCUUAGGAGACGUUUCCUGUUACAAAUGCAAUAGAAAAUCAAAGCAUGCCACUCACUUGAGGGAGCCCCCAUUUGUCUCCCUUGCCUACAACUGUUCUUUUCCAA
Long non-coding RNA from Tupaia belangeri chinensis (Chinese tree shrew), 774 nucleotides. RefSeq lists it as uncharacterized. The transcript has 3 exons. The record is from RefSeq and is a predicted model, not a curated record. Lineage: Eukaryota; Metazoa; Chordata; Mammalia; Scandentia; Tupaiidae.